This 73-nucleotide transfer RNA is filed under the name Hyloxalus awa. RNAcentral's name for it is "tRNA-Asn". It matches the Rfam family "tRNA". Rfam says of the family: Transfer RNA (tRNA) molecules are approximately 80 nucleotides in length. The record is from RNAcentral. Lineage: Eukaryota; Metazoa; Chordata; Amphibia; Anura; Dendrobatidae.
UAGAAUAAAGCUCGCUGGAUAGAGUAUUUAGCUGUUAACUAAAAAUUUAUGGGAUCAAGGCCCGUUUUUCUAG